This 6092-nucleotide long non-coding RNA is filed under the name Aquilegia coerulea. RNAcentral describes it as "long non-coding RNA (ACOE_LNC002175)". The record is from RNAcentral. Lineage: Eukaryota; Viridiplantae; Streptophyta; Magnoliopsida; Ranunculales; Ranunculaceae.
UGUAAUAACACCUGGGAGGACAUUGUUUGGCAAAUCUUCUUUCCCUUCUACCAUCUCUGAAUUCAUUGAUGUUGUUAUGUAAAGAAAACCAAUACAAAAAAUUUAUAGACAAGUAUAUAAAUUAAUCAUGGAUGUAGAAAUAGAAAGGAUAUAGAAUUGCUAAAUUGUUCUUUGUAGCUGUGCAUGGGUCGGUCAGGUUUGGAGUGAAUUGGACCUGAAUUGAUAUUCUGGGCUAAUCAAAUUGAUACUGAUCAUCAUCAUACAAGCAAACACACACCAAAAUUGUAAAGAAGUAAACCUGCUACCAAGCAAACACACACCAAAACAACAAUUUUUACGUGGUUCGGCAAAGAUGCCUAUGUGGGGAGAAAGGAGAUUGCUUCUUAUCUGAGACGAUCUUUCAAGCUUCUCAUAGAUCGGUUUUCCUCCCAUAGGCUUUAUAUAAUAGCCUUACAUUAAAAACUAGGUAUCUACAAAGUAGUCCUAGUAUUGGGCCUCUACCUGCUGCUCAGUCCGCUAGUUGUCUGCCGCCUGUCAGAACUUUAAGGCAGUUUUCCUCACAAACUGUAAUGAACCACUACGUGUGCCAUAUACUGUUGGAAAGAUGGAGAAGUCUACUUUCCAACCCAAAAGACUGAUCAUGAUUACGACUACCGAGCACAAAGUUAUAGUCAUUCUACUAUAGGCUAUCAUACGUGAACAGAUUCCAAACAACCAUAACCAAACCCAACGAGCAAUUCUACUAACAACGGUACAGACACGAGUCACCCGGUCUACACAAGAAUGUGUAACUCUAAUCCUAUCAGGGUUUGUAGGGGUACUACAUACUCCAGCCAAUCAAAAGCAGCCACGUGGCACAGUCAUCCACUCACCAGAUCGCUACAGCAUCGACCUCCCCGCAGCUCGCCCACAACGACCUAACCAUCUGAUUCAAAGGCGACCUGCUAUACACACGUGCUUUCAUUCAAUGCACAGAAUAUUCUCAUCAGUUACACAAUUAAUUCACAGGGAUGAUCCGCGCGCGUUACUCAUUUAAUACUCAUUAUGAUGGCGGAGAAUCUGCAAGAUCCACGAUCCACGCCCUUCCAUCUUCUAUAUAAACAGAACUACGAUGGCUUGAUCUCUAAGUUCAAUUCCCCCGAGCUAGAGUACGUAGGCAAUCUCGAUCUCAACGAGGUGCAGCCACUCCGAUCUCCAACACCCCCAUUUGGUCAAGUCUCCCUAGCGACCUGACCCAGCAGUGCAUUAAUCUAGAAAUAGGUUAAUACAUUUGGCGCCGACUGCAAGGAAUUCGAUAUAAUCGAAAACCCAAACCCCCCCCACCCACGAAAUCAAAUUCACUCAUUCCAAAUGGCUAAUCAGGAAAUCACUAUCCAAGAUCUGCACGCUCAAAUCAUAGCUUUGCAGGAAGAAAAUGCACGCCUCAAGGCUGCACAAACCAACCCCCAGCAGGGUGAAAGUAGCGGACCUGGAGUCGUUCCCACAGACGAUUCCAAUCAGAAAUUCGAACAACUCAGUCAACAACUGGCAGAGUUCAAAGCGUCACAAGCCCUUCUCCAUCGUUCCAAGAGUCACACCGCAGAGCAGCUUGCUGUUCAAUCACUCCAGCAGUUCCAGGAGUCUCCUUUCUCUAAGGAGAUCCUGGAACACGAUUUGCCGAAUAAGCUGAAUGCCCCCAAAUUCGACCAGUAUGCAGGAGUCGGAGAUCCAACCGACCAUGUCAAGGGAUUCCGGAAGUCCCUUCCUCCCCCUCAUCAAAGAAAAGAAGUCUGAAAAGAGGUUCGUUCUAGUAGCUGUCGACUAUUUCACCAAAUGGGUGGAAGCUGUUGCCUUAACCAAUGUAACACAGGCUGAUGUCCAAAGAUUUAUGUGGGAAAAUAUCAUCACAAGGUUCGGACUACCUAAACGGGUGGUCACAGACAAUGGCACUCAGUUCGUGGGUAAAAAUAUAAAGAAAUUCUAUGACCUGUGGAAAAUCGAGCAUUCAAGGUCAACUCCUAGAUACCCACAAGCCAACGGCCAGGUCGAGGCUGCAAAUCGACAGAUUCUAAACAAUUUGAAGAAGAAGCUCGAAGACCAGCAUGAUCAAUGGCCACAACAGUUGGAGAACAUCCUAUGGGCUUAUAGGACAACCCCUCGCACAUCCACGGGGAUGUCACCAUUUAGUCAUUGCUAUGGAGUCGAGGCUGUUAUCCCCACUGAAUUAACAUUUGGAACGACCAAGUCUCUUCUGGUCGACACAGAGCUCAAUAAUCAGAUCUGGUCGUUUGGAAUCGACCUCCUCGAAGAGCGACGCAACCACGCCACUAUAAAGCUCGAGCAAUACCAACAGAGACUCAAGCGAGCUUAUAACAAAGGCGUGCAACCAAGAACUUUCCAGCCAGGAGAACUAGUCCUUAGAAGAAUGUUCAGUAACAAAAGAAAGGACACUAUCGGCAAGCUCAACGCCAAUUGGGAGGGUCCUUACAUUAUCAAGAAAGUUCAGAGCAAUGGUUCUUACCGUCUUCAGACACCAGAAGGGGAGAUCGUUAAGAACCCGUGGAACGCUUUUCAUUUAAAGAAAUUUUAUCAGUGAAAUGUAAGCAUCCAUUCAUUGCAUUUCAAUCUAUAAAUUCAAUUUUGCCUUCAUCUCUGCUCAAACAUGAAUGGCUACGAAAGGUCCAAUCCCUCGACCUACAAAUUACCAAAACUCUAGUCCCUUUGGUAAUUUCAAAUUUUGUUAAGUUUAAUCGCUAACAACUUAACUAGGUGCAUUGGUCAUUCCCUUCCCACGACCAGAAGCACAAUGAAUGCGACCUCAUCCCAAAACAGGUCCAACAUUAUUGUUUGCAAAUCCCAUUCAAGCAGACAAAGCAACAUGAAUAACAAUGCAAGGUAAAUAGUUGAAUUAACUUUUUACUUGAUGAGAUUUUAACAAUUACAGGUACAAUAGACUUAAGGCAUACAAGAGGAACUGUUUCAGUACGUCCUACUUGCAGCCAUUCAUCUCGUCUACCUGCCUUCUGAACGAGCUACCAGGACUCCCUGGAAACUAGCUGGUCAAAAGGACCACAUACAAGCUCAUCAAAAGAGAAACUGACUACUGUUGUUAAUUACAAAAGUCUAUCCACUCAAACUCUCAAAAUUACAAGGGGGCUCUCAAGAAUGCGCUCUGGAAGCUAUGCCAAAUACAAGGAAUGAAAGAAGACAUACUGCAAGAACAAGGAGUGCAAGAAGCAAACGUUGCACAAGGAGACCCAGUAUAAAAAAGGGAAACCAAGGUUACCCAAUACAAGAAAGGGAAACCAAGGUUACGCAGUACAAAAAAGGGAAACCAAGGCUAGCUCAUUACUGCACAGACUGGUCGCCUGCCUCAUCAACUUCAGGAAGGGCUCCAGCGACCUGGUCAUCAGGGCCCAUCGAGGCGUCCUGAGCUGGCGCCAAAGUACCUUCAGCACCACCUCGCGUCUCCUCUCCUUCGGGCGAUCCCGUCAUAGCCUUCACCAGCUGGUCGCAGUAGGCCUUCCACGCUGCCUCAUUCUCCUGGCACACCUUCUGCCAGUACUCAACGGAAGCCAGAGAAGCAGCAUCACGUUCCCUCAACUGCUCCACAGUCUCCUUCAGCGCCGCGACCUGGGCAUCCCUGUCCUUAACCUUGCACUCAGCAACGACAGCAAUGUUCUUUGCCUGCUCAAGCUUCUCAUUGAGCGACCUCAACUCAAUUUCAGCCUGAGCACCAAUCUCAGCAACCAGACGCACCUCCUGGAAGCUGGCAUUUAGCUGCAACCAACAACAGAUUUUAGAUGGAAUAUCAAACAGUAAGCAAAACAAACGCGAUUCAAUUCACACUCACCAAAAACAGAGCCGCGUUUAUCUUUGAGCAGGUUACCAACAGCGGCUGCGACUUCACUGCUCGGGCAUCAGCAUCCAGGACGAUACCCUCAUUCACGGCCCGGGCAACGCAAGGGUCAUUAAUAGCACUGUCGUUAUCAUACACGACGUGCUUCUCUCCUUGACCGUCCAAAUAAUCGAACGGCCCGGGCCGGAAUUCAGACAGAAUUCCCUUGCCUUUCUGCGAAGGCCGAGCAGCAGUCUUCCAGGACAGGGCAGGCAUCCCAGGAGACGUCACAGGCACCGAAGAAACAGGAGCUGGCAUAGCUGGAAGCUCCUUCAGCUUAAGAGUCCCUGAGAAGGACCUCUUCUUCCCAGCCAAGGCACCUACCUUAGGAAGGGAGAUGGGAGGACCCGAGACCGGGGGGCUCGCCACUACCUCAGCGUGUCGAGACCUACCAACGGAUCGCUCCCUCUCCACUGGUACCUCCUUCUCAACAGACCGCUCCUGCCCCAGAGGUCGAUCCUUAUCAGCAGGUCGAUCCUUCUCCGACCUCCGAGGAGCACUGACAGAACGCUCCCUCUCCCCCUGCCUCGAGCUACCACCAGCCCGUUCGCCGUCACCACCUCGCGAACUGCCACCAGCUCGCCCACUUGCAGCUUUCUGAACGGAAGACAUAAACGCUUUCUUCAAAGCUUUCCUCCUCUCGAGCUCUUCCCAAACAGUUUUUGGACCACCUUUAGGAAUAAAAUGCUCCUUUAGGUGAGGCAGAAACGAGAUCUUCCGCUCGUCGCUCCACUUACCAAAGCUGUUCAGAGCGGACUGCAGGUCGUUUUUCCUAAUCAAGUGAUCGUCCCGAAUUGCUGCAACAAAAAAAAUACAACGACAUCAACUUCAAAAGCUAGAAGACAAAUCAACAAUCUUAAUACUACUGACAACCAACUUACGAGCGUCAUUCCUAAUCGUAUGACGCAACUGGAUAUCCCCCUCAACAAUCGGUCCAGUGAACAACAUGGGAUCCUUCCACCAUUGCUCGCUACUCACUGGGUAAAUCAAAGGCAAACGAUCUGGCCUAACCUGCAUGUUAUAGCCAGAGAAUUCAACCUUCGACGACCGUUUGAAGCAAAAGUGGUUCAGUACAUCUUUCGGCGUAAUGUUCCACCUAUGCAAUUGGUUGAGAUCUUCAAUUACCCUCAUAUUCCGCCAGAAGUUACCAUUCAUCUGACAGGGGGCUCGACUAACAGCAUUCAAUACGUCAACCACCAGUCCAGACAAUGGCAACCUCAACCCAGCACGGAAUUGGGGAAGAGUAAAUACAGUUGACGAGGGGUUAUUAGGUCGAUAAUCAGAGGAAAGCAAACGAUCUCCUAGAAACCUAAUCUCCAAAUCCCUAAUCGACCUAAACCCAUACGUCGUCCUAACUAUGACAUGCCUAUUUUACAACCCUAUGCAUUACACCACCGUCUCCCUCCACCAAUUCAUCAUCAGAAGAGUCCGGCCCAUGGGAACCACUACUCUGGGGGCUUUCUACCUCUUCAACGAGAACGGGAGACGGAGGGUCAGAAUGAGUUUUCUCAGACUCAUACUCCUCAAUCUCCUCGUCACCUCCACCACUCAAGUGAUCAUUCUGAGAAUCACCAGCAUCAGACAUUUUUCCCAACCAAUAAGACAAACAGAAGGCAAAACAGAAGAUCAAAGAAGUAAAAGGAAAAGAAAACAAACCUCACGAGCUCUCAAGGUUCUUCAGAUAGCAACUGAAAAGCGGCAGCAAUUCAAAUAAAGAAAAGAUAUGUAAACCCUUCUCAAGGCAACUACAGUUUAUAUACUGUAGCUCAAGCAUUUUCAGCCAUCAGUUCAAAACAGAUGAACGGCCGAGAUCGACCACUGGAUCAAUGUGCAUUGCAGUUAUUCUCCACUCACAAGACGGUUCGUAUCCACCGUUGGAUCAAUCCACGUGCAAGAGAUACAUUCAAUCAAGCAAUACGUGCGUCAGUUGCCAUAACUACACGGCUAACUGCUCGAGGAAACUCUACCACUUCCCCAUAAGAGCGCCAUGAUUACCACAAACAGCGCUGCAUGACUGCCACGUCACCAAUUUCAAAAAGUAAGCCUCAGAUCAACAUCGAAUGGCGCAUUAAGUCUUUUCAGCCCGCCUUCACCAGCCGACCUAAAAAGAGGGGGCUUAUGUAGGGGUACUACAUACUCCAGCCAAUCAAAAGCAGCCACGUGGCACAGUCAUCCACUCACCAGAUCGCUACAGCAUCGACCUCCCCGCAGCUCG